AGUGAUUGACUUUCCAUAACAAUCCACAAUAGUUGACAAAACACAUCGAACAACAUUGCAAUGCACAUCACCUAAAUCUAGCUCACCCUUCCCAAAAUACUCUCUAGGUCAUAUAACUUCUUCCUUAUAGUCUGAGGAAUCAUUAUGUUCACCCUCAUGCUCAUGUUUGCAUGCUUGCUCUAAAGCUAAUGAAUGAUGUGGGCAUUGAGAAGUAAUAUGACCUUUAUCGUGUAUCAUGACCUUUAUUUAUUCCUAAAUAAAAUAAAACUCUACUUCCCAUUUUUUAUCUAAAAUAGGUAGUCCUAAAAUCUCUAGAAAAUGCUACAUCACUAAGUGCAAAGGAACUAUAUCCUCCAGGCAUCAAUAGACCUUGUAAUUAUUGUACAAUCAAUAAUUAGGACAUAGGAACAACAAACGUAAUUUUAAUUAUGUACCUAGACGUAGAAAGGUAGAAGAAAAAGAGUUUUGUAGUGUCUUAGGCUCAAUGUACAUGUCCCUAUAUAAGCAAAAAAUAGAAUGUUAGUAACGUUCAAGAGAGGAAAAAUAAAAGAGACAUUAUGUAACAUUAAUAAAAUAGCUAAGUACCAAAAAAAUGGAGUUCAGUUUUGGCUAGGUAGAGAAAAAAUAGGAAUCUAGUUUUAACUAGGUCAAAAACAUGUUUUUAGGUAAGGAUAUUUCUUUGGAAAAAUAUAAAUGAAAAUAAAAGGCUAUGAAAAAGGAAACUGGAUCAAGUCCUCGCGAAUUAUACGCACGUCCACCCGUUACACUUGGCUAGGCCCAUCCUUGUGCGCACGAGUCCACCAACUCUUGUAGUUCUUCAAAAGCCUAUGUAGGUGUCUCCCAAUGUAAAGUGGGGAAAUUGUGUUAGGGUUUGAGA
Molecule: unclassified non-coding RNA, 877 nt
Filed under: Hevea brasiliensis (rubber tree)
Lineage: Eukaryota; Viridiplantae; Streptophyta; Magnoliopsida; Malpighiales; Euphorbiaceae
Source: RNAcentral